This 443-nucleotide ribosomal RNA is filed under the name uncultured bacterium. RNAcentral describes it as "partial 16S ribosomal RNA". It matches the Rfam family "Bacterial small subunit ribosomal RNA", at positions 338 to 795 of the family's 1533-position model. The record is from RNAcentral.
CCUCCGGGUGGCAGCAGUGGGGAAUAUUGGGCAAUGGGCGCAAGCCUGACCCAGCAACGCCGCGUGAAGGCAGCAGGCUUUCGGGUUGUAAACUUCUUUUCUGCGGGACGCAGAACGUGACGGUACCUCAGGAAUACGCCACGGCUAACUACGUGCCAGCAGCCGCGGUAAUCCGUAGGUGGCAAGCGUUAUACGGAUUUAUUGGGUGUAAAGGGCGUGUAGGCGGGACAGCAAGUCAGAUGUGAAAACUCAGGGCUCAACCCUGAGCCUUCAUUUGAAACUGUUUUUCUUGAGUGCUGGAGAGGCAAUCGGAAUGCCGGGUGUAGCGGUGAAAUGCGUAGAUAUUAGGAGGAACACCGGUGGCGAAGGCGGCUUACUGGACCGUAACUGACGUUGAGGCUCGAAAGCGUGGGGAGCAAACAGGAUUAGAUACCCCUGUAGUC